CGACGACCGGAGGCUGCGGCGGAGCCCCGGCGGGGCGUUUGGUUUCGGUUUGGCCCUGACUGGGAUUAGUGUUGACGAUCGAAAUGGGAGUCCCCAAGUUUUACCGAUGGAUCUCAGAGCGGUAUCCCUGUCUCAGCGAAGUGGUGAAAGAGCAUCAGAUUCCUGAAUUUGACAACUUGUACCUGGAUAUGAAUGGAAUUAUACAUCACUGCUCCCAUCCUAAUGAUGAUGAUGUUCACUUUAGAAUUUCAGAUGAUAAAAUCUUUACUGAUAUUUUUCACUACCUGGAGGUGUUGUUUCGCAUUAUUAAACCCAGGAAAGUGUUCUUUAUGGCUGUAGAUGGUGUGGCUCCUCGAGCAAAAAUGAACCAGCAGCGUGGGAGGCGUUUUAGGUCAGCAAAGGAGGCAGAAGACAAAAUUAAAAAGGCAGUAGAGAAGGGAGAAACUCUUCCUACAGAGGCCAGAUUUGAUUCCAACUGUAUCACACCAGGUAAAUUCACUGAGAGACAAAUUAUGACAGAAUUGAAAUAUAAAUUGAAAACUUGGUUUUUAAAUGUAUUUUAUUUUCUAUGCUCUAUUUAUUUUGGCCUUAGGGUUCCAUUUACUGUAUUUUCCCACUUAUGUUUGCUCAUGAGACGAUUUGGUCACCUUGGUCAUAAAUACUCCUACA
This 669-nucleotide small RNA is filed under the name Pan troglodytes (chimpanzee). RNAcentral describes it as "retained intron". Lineage: Eukaryota; Metazoa; Chordata; Mammalia; Primates; Hominidae. The record is from RNAcentral.